GAAGACAGUCUUGGACUCCCUUCCCCGUCCUCCACCAAAAGAUGACUGAUUUCUUCUGGUGCUGAGAGUCGGCUGCAGCCUUCUAGCACCAUUUGAAAUCGGUUAUAAAACAGUGGGUCGAUACAU
RNAcentral lists this microRNA precursor (126 nucleotides) under Takifugu rubripes (torafugu). RNAcentral's name for it is "microRNA fru-mir-29a precursor (fru-mir-29a-2)". Its record names the gene fru-mir-29a-2. The stretch from base 40 to 108 matches the Rfam family "mir-29 microRNA precursor family". From Rfam's summary of the family: This family represents the microRNA (miRNA) precursors mir-29. Animal miRNAs are transcribed as ~70nt precursors and subsequently processed by the Dicer enzyme to give a ~22nt product. In this case the mature sequence comes from the 3' arm of the precursor. The record is from miRBase by way of RNAcentral. Lineage: Eukaryota; Metazoa; Chordata; Actinopteri; Tetraodontiformes; Tetraodontidae.